This 197-nucleotide ribosomal RNA is filed under the name uncultured fungus. Its description in RNAcentral is "partial 18S ribosomal RNA". It matches the Rfam family "Eukaryotic small subunit ribosomal RNA", at positions 555 to 755 of the family's 1831-position model. The record is from RNAcentral. Lineage: Eukaryota; Fungi.
GCAAGUCUGGUGCCAGCAGCCGCGGUAAUUCCAGCUCCAAUGGCGUAUAUUAAAGUUGUUGCAGUUAAAAAGCUCGUAGUUGAACCUUGGGCCUGGCUGGCCGGUCCGCCUCACCGCGUAUACUGGUCCGGCCGGGCCUUUCCCUCUGUGGAACCCUAUGCCCUUCACUGGGUGUGUUGGGGAACCAGGACUUUUAC